This 72-nucleotide transfer RNA is filed under the name Stegodyphus mimosarum. It matches the Rfam family "tRNA". From Rfam's summary of the family: Transfer RNA (tRNA) molecules are approximately 80 nucleotides in length. Their secondary structure includes four short double-helical elements and three loops (D, anti-codon, and T loops). Lineage: Eukaryota; Metazoa; Arthropoda; Arachnida; Araneae; Eresidae. The record is from Rfam by way of RNAcentral.
GCCCUCGUGGUGUAGUAGUCAGCACACUCGACUCGUAUUCGAGAGAUCCGGGGUUCGAAUCCCGGCGAGGCA